UACGUAGGGGGCGAGCGUUGUCCGGAAUCAUUGGGCGUAAAGCGCGUGUAGGCGGUCCGGUAAGUCGGCUGUGAAAGUCCAGGGCUCAACCCUGGGAUGCCGGUCGAUACUGCCGGACUAGAGUUCGGAAGAGGCGAGUGGAAUUCCCGGUGUAGCGGUGAAAUGCGCAGAUAUCGGGAGGAACACCAAUGGCGAAGGCAGCUCGCUGGGACGUUACUGACGCUGAGACGCGAAAGCGUGGGGAGCAAACAGG
This 253-nucleotide ribosomal RNA is filed under the name uncultured bacterium. Its description in RNAcentral is "partial 16S ribosomal RNA". It matches the Rfam family "Bacterial small subunit ribosomal RNA", at positions 524 to 776 of the family's 1533-position model. The record is from RNAcentral.